RNAcentral lists this ribosomal RNA (381 nucleotides) under uncultured bacterium. RNAcentral describes it as "bacterial SSU rRNA". It matches the Rfam family "Archaeal small subunit ribosomal RNA", at positions 345 to 726 of the family's 1478-position model. The record is from RNAcentral.
AAACUUUACAAUGCUGGCAACAGCGAUAAGGGAACCUCGCGUGCCAGGUUACAAAUCUGGCUGUCGAGAUGCCUAAAAAGCAUUUCAUAGCAAGGGCCGGGCAAGACCGGUGCCAGCCGCCGCGGUAACACCGGCGGCUCGAGUGGUAACCGUUAUUAUUGGGUCUAAAGGGUCUGUAGCCGGCCGGAUAAGUCUCUUGAGAAAUCUGGCAGCUUAACUGUCAGGCUUUCAGGAGAUACUGUCUGACUCGAGGCCGGGAGAGGUGAGAGGUACUUCAGGGGUAGGGGUGAAAUCUUGUAAUCCUUGAAGGACCACCAGUGGCGAAGGCGUCUCACCAGAACGGACCUGACGGCAAGGGACGAAAGCUAGGGGCACGAACCG